Molecule: ribosomal RNA, 491 nt
Filed under: uncultured bacterium
Lineage: Bacteria
Description: partial 16S ribosomal RNA
Rfam family: Bacterial small subunit ribosomal RNA
Source: RNAcentral
AGUGAACGCUGGCGGUAGGCCUAACACAUGCAAGUCGAACGGCAGCACAGUAAGAGCUUGCUCUUACGGGUGGCGAGUGGCGGACGGGUGAGGAAUACAUCGGAAUCUACUUUUUCGUGGGGGAUAACGUAGGGAAACUUACGCUAAUACCGCAUACGACCUACGGGUGAAAGCAGGGGAUCUUCGGACCUUGCGCGAUUGAAUGAGCCGAUGUCGGAUUAGCUAGUUGGCGGGGUAAAGGCCCACCAAGGCGACGAUCCGUAGCUGGUCUGAGAGGAUGAUCAGCCACACUGGAACUGAGACACGGUCCAGACUCCUACGGGAGGCAGCAGUGGGGAAUAUUGGACAAUGGGCGCAAGCCUGAUCCAGCCAUACCGCGUGGGUGAAGAAGGCCUGCGGGUUGUAAAGCCCUUUUGCUGGGAAAGAAAAGCAGCAGGUUAAUACCCCGCUGUUCGGACGGUACCCAAAGAAUAAGCACCGGCUAACUUCGG